AAGCAAAACCGGCAUGUGUACUACAAUUAGAACGAUACAGAGAAGAUUAGCAUGGCCACUGGGCAAGAAUGACACCCAAAUUUGUGAAGCAUUCCAUUUUUAA
Molecule: small nuclear RNA, 103 nt
Organism: Loxodonta africana (African savanna elephant)
Lineage: Eukaryota; Metazoa; Chordata; Mammalia; Proboscidea; Elephantidae
Source: Ensembl